The sequence is a ribosomal RNA, 258 nucleotides long. It matches the Rfam family "Bacterial large subunit ribosomal RNA", at positions 1416 to 1681 of the family's 2925-position model.
UGAUGGGAAGCAGGUUAAUAUUCCUGCACCGUCGUAUGAUGCGAUGGGGGGACGGAUCGCGGAAGGUUGUCCAACUGUUGGAAUAGUUGGUUUUUGGCUCAUAGAAGGUACUUAGGCAAAUCCGGGUACGGAAUUCAAGGGGUUGAGACGAGUGAACUUGUUCACGAAGCAAUCGGAAGUGGUUCCAAGAAAAGCCUCUAAGCUUCAGUCAUACGAGACCGUACCGCAAACCGACACAGGUGGGCGAGAUGAGUAUUC